RNAcentral lists this ribosomal RNA (640 nucleotides) under uncultured bacterium. RNAcentral's name for it is "bacterial SSU rRNA". It matches the Rfam family "Bacterial small subunit ribosomal RNA", at positions 28 to 663 of the family's 1533-position model. The record is from RNAcentral.
AUUGAACGCUGGCGGCAUGCCUUACACAUGCAAGUCGAACGGCAGCACGGACUUCGGUCUGGUGGCGAGUGGCGAACGGGAGAGUAAUGUAUCGGAACGUACCUUUCAGUGGGGGAUAACGUAGCGAAAGUUACGCUAAUACCGCAUAUUCUGUGAGCAGGAAAGCAGGGGAUCGCAAGACCUUGCGCUGAUUGAGCGGCCGAUAUCAGAUUAGCUAGUUGGUGAGGUAAAGGCUCACCAAGGCGACGAUCUGUAGCGGGUCUGAGAGGAUGAUCCGCCACACUGGAACUGAGACACGGUCCAGACUCCUACGGGAGGCAGCAGUGGGGAAUUUUGGACAAUGGGGGCAACCCUGAUCCAGCCAUCCCGCGUGAGUGAAGAAGGCCUUCGGGUUGUAAAGCUCUUUCGGCCGGGAAGAAAUCGCAUGGGCUAAUACCCUGUGCGGAUGACGGUACCGGCAUAAGAAGCACCGGCUAACUACGUGCCAGCAGCCGCGGUAAUACGUAGGGUGCGAGCGUUAAUCGGAAUUACUGGGCGUAAAGCGUGCGCAGGCGGUUUUUUAAGACAGGCGCGAAAUCCCCGGGCUCAACCUGGGAACUGCGCUUGUGACUGGAAGGCUAGAGUAUGGCAGAGGGGGGUG